RNAcentral lists this ribosomal RNA (253 nucleotides) under uncultured bacterium. Its description in RNAcentral is "partial 16S ribosomal RNA". It matches the Rfam family "Bacterial small subunit ribosomal RNA", at positions 524 to 776 of the family's 1533-position model. The record is from RNAcentral.
UACGUAGGGCGCAAGCGUUAUCCGGAAUUAUUGGGCGUAAAGAGCUCGUAGGCGGUUUGUCGCGUCUGCCGUGAAAGUCCGGGGCUCAACUCCGGAUCUGCGGUGGGUACGGGCAGACUAGAGUGAUGUAGGGGAGACUGGAAUUCCUGGUGUAGCGGUGAAAUGCGCAGAUAUCAGGAGGAACACCGAUGGCGAAGGCAGGUCUCUGGGCAUUAACUGACGCUGAGGAGCGAAAGCGUGGGGAGCGUACAGG